RNAcentral lists this ribosomal RNA (426 nucleotides) under Ophelina meyerae. RNAcentral's name for it is "partial 16S ribosomal RNA". It matches the Rfam family "Bacterial large subunit ribosomal RNA", at positions 1953 to 2613 of the family's 2925-position model. Lineage: Eukaryota; Metazoa; Annelida; Polychaeta; Opheliidae. The record is from RNAcentral.
AAGGUAGCAUAAUCAUUUGCCCUUUAAUUGGGGGCUGGAAUGAACGGAUACACGAGAGAAGAGCUGUCUCCUCCCUAGUAAUAAAAAUUAGCAUUUAGGUGAAGAGACCUGAAUUUAAAUAAAGGACAAGAAGACCCUAUUGAGCUUGACUUUUUGGAGGGGCAAUUUACGCUUUCCGUGAAGUUUGGUUGGGGCGACCGGGGAAUAGACAAAACUUCCUCGAGUUUAAAGGCUUGCCGGCCUUCAUUGAUCUGAUUUUCAAUUAAAGGAAUAAGCUACCAUAGGGAUAACAGACUAAUCCUCCUAGAGAGUUCACAUUGACAGGAGGGAUUGGCACCUCGAUGUUGGCUUAGGGCAUCCCAUUGGUGCAGGCGCCAAUAAAGGUGGGUUUGUUCAACCCGUAAUGCCUUACGUGAUCUGAGUUCA